RNAcentral lists this unclassified non-coding RNA (329 nucleotides) under soil metagenome. RNAcentral describes it as "partial contains 5.8S ribosomal RNA, internal transcribed spacer 2, and large subunit ribosomal RNA". The stretch from base 1 to 120 matches the Rfam family "5.8S ribosomal RNA", at positions 35 to 154 of the family's 154-position model. The record is from RNAcentral.
GAUGAAGAACGCAGCGAAAUGCGAUAAGUAAUGUGAAUUGCAGAAUUCAGUGAAUCAUCGAAUCUUUGAAAGCACAUUGCGCCCCUUGGUAUUCCGAGGGGCAUGCCUGUUCGAGCGUCAUUAUAACCCCUCAAGCUCAGCUUGGUGUUGGGGCCUGCUGCACUGGCAGCCCUUAAAAUCAGUGGCGGCGCCAUCUGGCUCUAAGCGUAGUAAUUCUUCUCGCUAUGGAGUCCUGGUGGAUGCUUGCCAUCAACCCCCAAUUUUUCUAUGGUUGACCUCGGAUCAGGUAGGGAUACCCGCUGAACUUAAGCAUAUCAAUAAGCGGAGGA